This 497-nucleotide ribosomal RNA is filed under the name uncultured bacterium. Its description in RNAcentral is "partial 16S ribosomal RNA". It matches the Rfam family "Bacterial small subunit ribosomal RNA", at positions 28 to 507 of the family's 1533-position model. The record is from RNAcentral.
GAUGAACGCUGGCGGCGUGCCUAAUACAUGCAAGUCGAGCGAACAGACGAGGAGCUUGCUCCUCUGACGUUAGCGGCGGACGGGUGAGUAACACGUGGAUAACCUACCUAUAAGACUGGGAUAACUUCGGGAAACCGGAGCUAACACCGGAUAAUAUAUUGAACCGCAUGGUUCAAUAGUGAAAGACGGUUUUGCUGUCACUUAUAGAUGGAUCCGCGCCGCAUUAGCUAGUUGGUAAGGUAACGGCUUACCAAGGCAACGAUGCGUAGCCGACCUGAGAGGGUGAUAGGCCACACUAGAACUGAGACACGGUCCAGACUCCUACGGGAGGCAGCAGUAGGGAAUCUUCCGCAAUGGGCGGAAGCCUGACGGAACAACGCCACGUGAGUGAUAAAAGUCUUCGGAUCGUGAUACUCUGUUAUUAGGGAAGAACAAAUGUGUAAGUAACUAUGCACGUCUUGACGGUACCGAAUCAAAAAGCCACGGCUAACUACGUG